Molecule: long non-coding RNA, 277 nt
Filed under: Mytilus galloprovincialis (Mediterranean mussel)
Lineage: Eukaryota; Metazoa; Mollusca; Bivalvia; Mytilida; Mytilidae
Source: RNAcentral
UGUUGGUACAAUGUUUUAAUGAUUGAGAUUGUAAAUUCACUAAUAACUCUUUUGAAUUUUUCAGCAUCCACAUCUGAUUAACACCACUUCUUGAAUAUGUCGUUUCGAAAUAUUCUGAAGUCCUUCUUUGACUGCAGUGAGUAUGGCAGUAAGAACUUUAGAAAGGGGUUUAGUGGAACACUUGGAAGAACCUGCAAUAUACUUUUCCGUAUAAGGAUUCUUGUGAAGCGUAGGAAUCCAAUAUAAGGAUGGAAGAUCCUGGUCUUCAUCCUUUGGA